UGGACAGCCGUGGAGACCAAAGUCCACUCUGUAUCCAUAGACCAGGUAGUACACGGGCAGCAGCUACAAAAGCCUCCUCCCCUACUUGCUACCUCCUGGCUUUACAGGUGGGAAAACUGAGGCACGGAACUCCUGUAGGGACAGAAGGGGAGCUCAGUCUCCACAGUUCAUCCAAUCCCUGGCUAAG
This 187-nucleotide small RNA is filed under the name Chelonoidis abingdonii (Abingdon island giant tortoise). RNAcentral's name for it is "TUC338 (ENSCABG00000018309.1)". Lineage: Eukaryota; Metazoa; Chordata; Testudines; Testudinidae. The record is from RNAcentral.